Molecule: ribosomal RNA, 393 nt
Filed under: uncultured bacterium
Lineage: Bacteria
Description: bacterial SSU rRNA
Rfam family: Bacterial small subunit ribosomal RNA
Source: RNAcentral
GACGAACGCUGGCGGCGUGCUUAACACAUGCAAGUCGAGCGGUAAGGCCCUUUCGGGGGUACGACGAGCGGCGAACGGGUGAGUAACACGUGGGUGACCUGCCCUCAGCUCUGGGAUAAGCCUGGGAAACCGGGGUCUAAUACUGGAUAUGACUCCAUGACGCAUGUUGUGGGGUGGAAAGCCUUGUGCGGCUGAGGAUGGGCCCGCGGCCUAUCAGCCUGUUGGUGGGGUGANGGCCUACCAAGGCGACGACGGGUAGCCGGCCUGAGAGGGCGACCGGCCACACUGGGACUGAGACACGGCCCAGACUCCUACGGGAGGCAGCAGUGGGGAAUCUUGCGCAAUGGGCGAAAGCCUGACGCAGCGACGCCGCGUGAGGGAUGACGGCCUCGG